Molecule: ribosomal RNA, 166 nt
Filed under: uncultured bacterium
Lineage: Bacteria
Description: partial 16S ribosomal RNA
Rfam family: Bacterial small subunit ribosomal RNA
Source: RNAcentral
GCUAGUAAUCGUAGGUCAGCAUACUACGGCGAAUACGUUCCCGGCCUUGUACACACCGCCCGUCAAACCAUGAGAGUUGGCAACACCCGAAGUCGGUAGUCUAACCGCAAGGAGGACGCCGCCAAAGGUGGGGUUGAUGAUUAGGGUUAAGUCGUAACAAGGUACC